GACGAACGCUGGCGGCGUGCUUAACACAUGCAAGUCGAGCGGCAGCGGGAAGUAGCUUGCUACUUUGCCGGCGAGCGGCGGACGGGUGAGUAAUGUCUGGGAAACUGCCUGAUGGAGGGGGAUAACUACUGGAAACGGUAGCUAAUACCGCAUAACGUCGCAAGACCAAAGAGGGGGACCUUCGGGCCUCUUGCCAUCAGAUGUGCCCAGAUGGGAUUAGCUAGUAGGUGGGGUAACGGCUCACCUAGGCGACGAUCCCUAGCUGGUCUGAGGGGAUGACCAGCCAAACUGGAACUGAGACACGGUCCAGACGCCUGCGGGAGGCAGCGGUGGGGAAUAUUGCACAAUGGGCGCAAGCCUGAUGCAGCCAUGCCGCGUGUAUGAAGAAGGCCUUCGGGUUGUAAAGUACUUUCAGCGGGGAGGAAGGUGUUGAGGUUAAUAACCUCAGCAAUUGACGUUACCCGCAGAAGAAGCACCGGCUAACUCCGUGCCAGCAGCCGCCGUAA
Molecule: ribosomal RNA, 506 nt
Filed under: uncultured bacterium
Lineage: Bacteria
Description: partial 16S ribosomal RNA
Rfam family: Bacterial small subunit ribosomal RNA
Source: RNAcentral